RNAcentral lists this ribosomal RNA (433 nucleotides) under uncultured bacterium. RNAcentral describes it as "partial 16S ribosomal RNA". It matches the Rfam family "Bacterial small subunit ribosomal RNA", at positions 29 to 507 of the family's 1533-position model. The record is from RNAcentral.
AACGAACGCUGGCGGCAUGCCUAACACAUGCAAGUCGAACGAGACCUUCGGGUCUAGUGGCGCACGGGUGCGUAACGCGUGGGAACCUGCCCUUAGGUUCGGAAUAACUCCCCGAAAGGGGUGCUAAUACCGGAUAAUGUCUUCGGACCAAAGAUUUAUCGCCUUUGGAUGGGCCCGCGUUGGAUUAGCUAGUUGGUAGGGUAAAAGCCUACCAAGGCGACGAUCCAUAGCUGGUCUGAGAGGAUGAUCAGCCACACUGGGACUGAGACACGGCGCAGACUCCUACGGGAGGCAGCAGUGGGGAAUAUUGGACAAUGGGCGAAAGCCUGAUCCAGCAAUGCCGCGUGAGUGAUGAAGGCCUUAGGAUUGUAAAGCUCUUUUACCCGGGAUGAUAAUGACAGUACCGGGAGAAUAAGCUCCGGCUAACUCCGUG